GUCUACGGCCAUGCCACCCCUGAAUAAGCCCAAUGUUUGAUCUCAGAAGCUAAGCAGUGUCGGGCCUGGUUAGUACUUGGAUGGGAGACCACCUAGGAAGACCAGGUGCUGUAGGCA
Molecule: ribosomal RNA, 117 nt
Filed under: Pteropus alecto (black flying fox)
Lineage: Eukaryota; Metazoa; Chordata; Mammalia; Chiroptera; Pteropodidae
Source: RNAcentral